UAUUUCCUGCCGCGUUCGAUGGUGUGCUGGGUGUUUCCUGAACCUAUAUUGACCCCGGGAACGAAUAUUUGUUAUGGCGUGUAUGCCCAUUCAUUUGGGAAACCCGAUUAACGAAAAGCGUUCCCACUUGAACCUUCGGUUCAAGGACGAAAGUACAUAACGGCGCAGGCGGGUCAUAC
This 179-nucleotide non-coding RNA is filed under the name Methylococcales bacterium. RNAcentral describes it as "6S RNA". It matches the Rfam family "6S / SsrS RNA". Rfam says of the family: E. coli 6S RNA was the first non coding RNA to be sequenced, but its function was unknown until recently. It consists of 184 nucleotides that fold into an extended hairpin structure with a large single-stranded internal bulge. The 6S RNA specifically associates with RNA polymerase holoenzyme containing the sigma70 specificity factor. The record is from RNAcentral. Lineage: Bacteria; Pseudomonadati; Pseudomonadota; Gammaproteobacteria; Methylococcales.